Molecule: ribosomal RNA, 575 nt
Filed under: Penicillium chrysogenum
Lineage: Eukaryota; Fungi; Ascomycota; Eurotiomycetes; Eurotiales; Aspergillaceae
Also listed under: 1 other name
Description: eukaryotic LSU rRNA
Rfam family: Eukaryotic large subunit ribosomal RNA
Source: RNAcentral
AAAGAAACCAACAGGGAUUGCCCCAGUAACGGCGAGUGAAGCGGCAAGAGCUCAAAUUUGAAAGCUGGCUCCUUCGGGGUCCGCAUUGUAAUUUGUAGAGGAUGCUUCGGGAGCGGUCCCCAUCUAAGUGCCCUGGAACGGGACGUCAUAGAGGGUGAGAAUCCCGUAUGGGAUGGGGUGUCCGCGCCCGUGUGAAGCUCCUUCGACGAGUCGAGUUGUUUGGGAAUGCAGCUCUAAAUGGGUGGUAAAUUUCAUCUAAAGCUAAAUAUUGGCCGGAGACCGAUAGCGCACAAGUAGAGUGAUCGAAAGAUGAAAAGCACUUUGAAAAGAGAGUUAAAAAGCACGUGAAAUUGUUGAAAGGGAAGCGCUUGCGACCAGACUCGCUCGCGGGGUUCAGCCGGCAUUCGUGCCGGUGUACUUCCCCGCGGGCGGGCCAGCGUCGGUUUGGGCGGUCGGUCAAAGGCCCUCGGAAGGUAACGCCCCUAGGGGCGUCUUAUAGCCGAGGGUGCAAUGCGACCUGCCUAGACCGAGGAACGCGCUUCGGCUCGGACGCUGGCAUAAUGGUCGUAAACGAC